GAUGAACGCUAGCGGGAGGCUUAAUACAUGCAAGUCGAGGGGCAGCAUAGAACUUCGGUUCUGAUGGCGACCGGCGAACGGGUGAGUAACGCGUACACAAUCUACCUUUUAGUGGGGAAUAGCCUUGGGAAACUGAGAUUAAUACCCCAUAGUAUUACUUUUAAUAUUUAUUAGUAAUUAAAGCUCCGGCGCUAAAAGAUGAGUGUGCGUCUGAUUAGGUAGUUGGUAGGGUAAAGGCCUACCAAGCCGACGAUCAGUAGGGGGCGUGAGAGCGUGGACCCCCACACGGGUACUGAGACACGGACCCGACUCCUACGGGAGGCAGCAGUAAGGAAUAUUGGACAAUGGGCGAAAGCCUGAUCCAGCCAUCCCGCGUGCAGGAUGACGGCCCUAUGGGUUGUAAACUGCUUUUGUUAGGGAAGAAACCCUUGGAUUUAUCCGAGGCUGACGGUACCUAAAGAAUAAGCACCGGCUAACUCCG
RNAcentral lists this ribosomal RNA (481 nucleotides) under uncultured Portibacter sp. RNAcentral describes it as "bacterial SSU rRNA". It matches the Rfam family "Bacterial small subunit ribosomal RNA", at positions 28 to 505 of the family's 1533-position model. The record is from RNAcentral. Lineage: Bacteria; Pseudomonadati; Bacteroidota; Saprospiria; Saprospirales; Haliscomenobacteraceae.